UUUUUGAUUAAUAAUUUAAAGUCUAAUCUGCCCACUGAUAAUAAAUUAAAGGGCUGCAGUAUUUUGACUGUACAAAGGUAGCAUAAUCAUUAGUCUCUUAAUUGGUGACUUGUAUGAAGGAUUUGAUGAAAUAUAUACUGUCUCUUUUUAAUUUAUAAAAUUUAAUUUUUUAGUUAAAAAGCUAAAAUGAAUUUAAAAGACGAGAAGACCCUAUAGAGUUUUAUAUUCAUAUAAAUUAAAAUUUUUUAUAAGAUUUAAAAUCUUAAUUUAUAUGAAUAUUUUGUUGGGGUGAUAGAAAAAUUAAAAUAACUUUUUUUAUAAUUUUACAUUAAUAAAUGAAUAAAUGAUCCGUAAUUUACGAUUAUAAGAUAAAAUUACCUUAGGGAUAACAGCGUAAUUUUUUUUUUUAGUUCAAAUAAGAAAAAAAGUUUGCGACCUCGAUGUUGGAUUAAGAUAAAAUUUAAAUGCAAAAGUUUAAAAUUUUUGAUCUGUUCGAUCAUUAAAAUCUUACA
Molecule: ribosomal RNA, 512 nt
Filed under: Parnassius apollo nevadensis
Lineage: Eukaryota; Metazoa; Arthropoda; Insecta; Lepidoptera; Papilionidae
Description: partial 16S ribosomal RNA
Rfam family: Bacterial large subunit ribosomal RNA (bases 385-512)
Source: RNAcentral